GGGAAAGUGUCGGCUGCUGUCCAGCAUCCUGUUGCAGACUGCAAUAAAUUGGAUGCACGCUCUGCUGCAGUGGAGCAUGGCAAAGGGAUCUUGGAACCAGCAGUGAGAGAAGCGAAAAAGGAAGACAGAGUCUUGCAACCAGCAGGGGAAGCAGCAAAAAAAGAAGAUGGGGUCUUGCCACCAGCAGGAGGAGAAGCAAAACAGGAAGACAGGGAUUUUCCCUGGGAUUCUGAGCAGAACUGCUAGAAAACAACCCCUUUCACCACUGCUUGGGUCCAUCGGAGCGAACUGUGACACUUAGAAAACAAAAGAAGCAGAUCUCAGCUUCUCGUUCCUGAACUGCCGACAGUGUGAACCGUGAGACCCCAGGCGCCAUCGAUACAGUCUGCAGACAUCGCCCUCUUCGAUCUAUGGCACCAGCAGCAGGUGGAGCAGAGAAUUAAGUCUUUCACACACUGACAUUUGAAUUCCCUGUGACAGUACAAGCCAAGACCUAGGAUUCCUUGUGACAGCAGAACUGAACAAUCUUUGACUGGACAUAAUGGCCUGAGCCAAACAGAGAACCUGGACCAAGAAACAUUUCCAGACCAGUAAACCUAGAGACUGGUAAAGGUACAGAACUCCAGAGGGGUGGAGCAUGGAGUGUGGUAAGGGCUGCACAGAAAGAGGCAGGAGGCACCAGCUCCUAGCAAUUUUUGGAAAGCAAUUCCCAUUGGCUUUAGCAAGGCUAGAAUGUUCCUCCUUAUCUAGAUACUCACAUACUAGGUUCAGCUUACCCCUGUUGCAGAAUCCUGUUCCACAUGCUACUUUGAUGACCUUUGACUGCAACUAGCCUUUCAGACUAGCCUCUUGUGGCAGUUCUAGCUGGUACCCCAGUGAGUGACCUGGUGGCCUGUCAUCCAGAAAGAGAGUUCUGGGUGACUUCUGUCUGCCUAACCUACUGAGUCACACCUCUUCGACUGCGUGAAUACACUUGCAAACUGGACCAAACCAAUAUAAUCUUUACUAAAUCAGGCUCAAAUGGAAAUCACUAUAUAUACUACACGAGAAUGUUUGAAGGUGUUUGAAGGUCACCUGCUUCAAUAUUUUGUUUGGUCUCCAUAAGCAGAGCAGAUAUUCUUGCUUCAUCUUUAACCAGGAAGCUGACUGUACAGCAAGUUUUACAAUCUUUAUGGUCCUAGACUACCAGGUGUUUCUUAAGAGUCACUAAAGAGGAUUGCAUUGUUUUCAGAUUAUCUAACUAAAGGCAUAAUUACAAGGCCUCAACUUAGUUAAUUUUUAUUCUACUUUGAAACAAUGGAUGUCCAGUGCUGCAACUGGACUCUGGAUUGUGUAGUUGGUGUUUCGUACCCAGGAAACACAGGUAAACUCUUAUAAACUCUUUCAACCCACUUACCAGUAAAUAAUUUUUUCUAGG
Molecule: long non-coding RNA, 1417 nt
Organism: Corvus hawaiiensis (hawaiian crow)
Lineage: Eukaryota; Metazoa; Chordata; Aves; Passeriformes; Corvidae
Exons: 5
Source: RefSeq, a predicted model, not a curated record